AUUGAACGCUGGCGGCAUGCCUUACACAUGCAAGUCGAACGGUAACAGGUCUUCGGAUGCUGACGAGUGGCGAACGGGUGAGUAAUACAUCGGAACGUGCCUAGUAGUGGGGGAUAACUACUCGAAAGAGUGGCUAAUACCGCAUGUGAUCUACGGAUGAAAGCAGGGGAUCGCAAGACCUUGUGCUACUAGAGCGGCCGAUGGCAGAUUAGGUAGUUGGUGGGAUAAAAGCUUACCAAGCCGACGAUCUGUAGCUGGUCUGAGAGGACGAUCAGCCACACUGGGACUGAGACCAGGCCCAGAGUCCUCCGGGAGGGAGCAGUGGGGAAUUUUGGACAAUGGGCGCAAGCCUGAUCCAGCAAUGCCGCGUGCAGGAUGAAGGCCUUCGGGUUGUAAACUGCUUUUGUACGGAACGAAAAGCCCUGGGUUAAUACCCUGGGGUCAUGACGGUACCGUAAGAAUAAGCACCGGCUAACUACGUGCCAGCAGCCGCCGUAA
RNAcentral lists this ribosomal RNA (498 nucleotides) under uncultured bacterium. RNAcentral describes it as "partial 16S ribosomal RNA". It matches the Rfam family "Bacterial small subunit ribosomal RNA", at positions 30 to 523 of the family's 1533-position model. The record is from RNAcentral.